GCAAGAAGGUAUCCUCUUCCCAAGGUGUA
This 29-nucleotide non-coding RNA is filed under the name Homo sapiens (human). Lineage: Eukaryota; Metazoa; Chordata; Mammalia; Primates; Hominidae. The record is from RNAcentral.